GUGGHCAAACAUGGHUGCAACGGGUAACGGAGGGKKAGGGCUCGACCCCGGAGAAGGAGCCUGAGAAACGGCUACUACAUCCAAGGAAGGCAGCAGGCGCGCAAAUUACCCAAUCCCGAUUCGGGGAGGUAGUGACAAUAAAUACUGAUACAGGGCUCUUUUGGGUCUUGUAAUUGGAAUGAGUACAAUUUAAAUCCCUUAACGAGGAACAAUUGGAGGGCAAGUCUGGUGCCAGCAGCCGCGGUAAUUCCAGCUCCAAUAGCGUAUAUUAAAGUUGUUGUGGUUAAAAAGCUCGUAGUUGAACCUUGGGCCUGGCUGGCCGGUCCGCCUCACCGCGUGUACUGGUCCGGCCGGGCCUUUCCCUCUGUGGAACCCCAUGCCCUUCACUGGGCGUGGCGGGGAAACAGGACUUUUACUUUGAAAAAAUUAGAGUGCUCCAGGCAGGCCUAUGCUCGAAUACAUUAGCAUGGAAUAAUGAAAUAGGACGUGCGGUUCUAUUUUGUUGGUUUCUAGGACCGCCGUAAUGAUUAAUAGGGACAGUCGGGGGCAUCAGUAUUCAAUUGUCAGAGGUGAAAUUCUUGGAUUUAUUGAAGACUAACUACUGCGAAAGCAUUUGCCAAGGAUGUUUUCAUUAAUCAG
RNAcentral lists this ribosomal RNA (639 nucleotides) under Bettiolomyces cf. epiphytum 473/LC1. Its description in RNAcentral is "SSU rRNA". It matches the Rfam family "Eukaryotic small subunit ribosomal RNA", at positions 338 to 991 of the family's 1831-position model. The record is from RNAcentral. Lineage: Eukaryota; Fungi; Ascomycota; Sordariomycetes; Hypocreales; Clavicipitaceae.